UACGGGGGGGGCAAGCGUUGUUCGGAAUUACUGGGCGUAAAGGGCUCGUAAGCGGCCAACUAAGUCAGACGUGAAAUCCCUCGGCUUAACCGGGGAACUGCGUCUGAUACUGGAUGGCUUGAGGUUGGGAGAGGGAUGCGGAAUUCCAGGUGUAGCGGUGAAAUGCGUAGAUAUCUGGAGGAACACCGGUGGCGAAGGCGGCAUCCUGGACCAAUUCUGACGCUGAGGAGCGAAAGCCAGGGGAGCAAACGGG
This 253-nucleotide ribosomal RNA is filed under the name uncultured bacterium. RNAcentral describes it as "partial 16S ribosomal RNA". It matches the Rfam family "Bacterial small subunit ribosomal RNA", at positions 524 to 776 of the family's 1533-position model. The record is from RNAcentral.